Molecule: transfer RNA, 73 nt
Filed under: Paramuricea clavata
Lineage: Eukaryota; Metazoa; Cnidaria; Anthozoa; Malacalcyonacea; Plexauridae
Rfam family: tRNA
About the family: Transfer RNA (tRNA) molecules are approximately 80 nucleotides in length.
Source: Rfam by way of RNAcentral
GGACGCGUAGCUCAGUUGGCAGAGCAUUGGGCUAGUAUUCCAAAGGUCGUAGGUUCGAUUCCCACUGCGGCCG